GAUGAACGCUGGCGGCGUGCCUAACACAUGCAAGUCGAGCGAACAGAUGCGGAGCUUGCUCGUCUGACGUUAGCGGCGGACGGGAGAGUAACACGUGGAUACCCUACCUAUCAGACUGAGAUAACUUCGGAACACCGGCGCUAAUACCGGAUAAUAUAUUGAACCGCAUGGUUCGAUAGUGAAUGACGGUUUUGCUGUCACUUAUAGAUGCAUCCGCGCCGGAUUAGCUAGUUGGUAAGGUAACGGCUUACCAAGGCAACGAUGCGUAGCCGACCUGAGAGGGUGAUCGGCCACACGGGAGGUGAGACAGGGUCCAGACUCCUGCGAGAGGCAGCAGUAGGGAAUCUUACGCAAUGGGGGAGAGCAUGACGGAGCAACGCGGCGUGAGUGAUGAAGGUGCCCGGAUCGGAAAACUCUGUUAUUAGUGGAGAACAAAUGUGUAAGUAACCGUGCAGGUAGUGACGGUACCGGAUCAAAAAGCCCCGGCUAACUACGUG
Molecule: ribosomal RNA, 497 nt
Filed under: uncultured bacterium
Lineage: Bacteria
Description: partial 16S ribosomal RNA
Rfam family: Bacterial small subunit ribosomal RNA
Source: RNAcentral